Molecule: ribosomal RNA, 425 nt
Filed under: uncultured bacterium
Lineage: Bacteria
Description: partial 16S ribosomal RNA
Rfam family: Bacterial small subunit ribosomal RNA
Source: RNAcentral
GUAGGGAAUCUUGCGCAAUGGGCGAAAGCCUGACGCAGCCAUGCCGCGUGAAUGAUGAAGGUCUUAGGAUUGUAAAAUUCUUUCACCGGGGACGAUAAUGACGGUACCCGGAGAAGAAGCCCCGGCUAACUUCGUGCCAGCAGCCGCGGUAAUACGAAGGGGGCUAGCGUUGCUCGGAAUUACUGGGCGUAAAGGGCGCGUAGGCGGACAGUUUAGUCAGAGGUGAAAGCCCAGGGCUCAACCUUGGAAUUGCCUUUGAUACUGGCUGUCUUGAGUACGGGAGAGGUGAGUGGAACUCCGAGUGUAGAGGUGAAAUUCGUAGAUAUUCGGAAGAACACCAGUGGCGAAGGCGACUCACUGGCCCGUUACUGACGCUGAGGCGCGAAAGCGUGGGGAGCAAACAGGAUUAGAAACCCUAGUAGUCC